Long non-coding RNA from Neofelis nebulosa (Clouded leopard), 1525 nucleotides. RefSeq lists it as uncharacterized. Lineage: Eukaryota; Metazoa; Chordata; Mammalia; Carnivora; Felidae. The record is from RefSeq and is a predicted model, not a curated record. The transcript has 2 exons.
CCCCCCCCGCUGCCAGCCUCGUAACCUGUCAAGGCGGUCAGGUCAGACCCCAGCACCGACUGCCGAUCUCGGGCUGGGGCCGUGGGGACACCUGGGGAAGUCUGACACUACUACUAUUCUCUGUCAUGGCUUUCAAAGCUCCUCAAGUCCCAUUUUUCUCAGAUCGCUUUCUUUUCACCCCUCGGGGCUCUUCCUGCUCCCCGGGCCCUUCGGCUCGCGGCAAACUCCUACCCUUGAAGGUCCACCUCAGUUGUUCCCUCCGGACGUCUUUUCCAGCACCUUCCUCCUCGGGCGUCCAGCACAGGCGCCUCCUUUGGGCCGCACAGAAAUGUCUGCACACUGCUGUUGGGGCUCCUAACAACAAAUCGUAUUUACUGGCACCAGUUAUUUGCCGGGCACUGCUGUUUAAUGUACCCGUUUGCUUCUCUUGUCUCUCACCAGAUCUGGGGGCGCGACCCACACCUUCUGGAAUCCGUGAGGCCCCUGCCCGCAGCGUGUCCAGGUGCCAAGCGAAGCCAAGGAGCGUUGGGAGUCAGGCCCCUGGGGACCCCCAGUUCCAGCUGCACCACUGAAGGACUUCUGCCCUCUGGCAAAGAGGGAAAGAGUGCGAGCAGGGGAGGGGCAGAGAGAGACACAGGAUCUGAAGCAGGCUCCAGGCUCCGAGCUGUCAGCACAAAGUGCAACACGAGGCUCGAACCCACGAACCGCGAGAUCGUGACCAAAGCUGAAAUUGGAUGCUUAACUGAUUGAGCCACCUCGGCCCCCCCCCUUUUUUUAUGUUUUCUUAUUAUUUUGAGAGAGAGAGAGAGAGUGCAUGGGGGAGUGGGGAAGGGGAAGAGAGAGGGAGACAGAGAAUCCCAAGCAGGCUCCCUGCUGUCAGCGCAGAGCCCGACACGGGGCUCGAUCCCACGAACCUGUGAGAUCCUGACAUGAGCUGAAACCAAGAACAUGCUCAGGAACUUCCAAGAGUGUUGACGACGCCACCCGGCAAAGCCUCCCACUGACGCAAGCGGUGGGCCUCUGCCCUCAGUGACUCCGAGGGGGACGAAUGGACCCUAAGGAAGGUGGUGGCCCUGGUCUGCCAGAGUGCGGGGGUCUCUGGGGCCUGACUGGGGACGUGCCGGUGGGUGGAUAUCACCGUCAGCCACCACUACUGACGCAAGUGGGGCUGGGAGCCGGCCGCCCGAGGAGGGAUGAGCUGUUACGCGCCCACCGUGUCAGUACAGCUCAGCAGGAUCCGGUGAGCGCCACGGGGCCCCGGCGGAAGUCACACCCAGCCCCGCCAGGUAGGGAACAGACGCUCCAGAGGUGUUCACCUUCCGGGCUCCGCCACGUCCUGUGCAGGUUCUGGAACCUUCCUUUCCUCGUCUGCCGAAGGGGGAGAAGAGCACGUCGCCCUUUGCGCCACAUGCCUUCACCACACGGAUGUCCCCCUCGCGUGGCCUUCAUCAUUCUGUGUAUUUCCUGGUCUCGGUUUUCCUUUCUCUUCAUAAUGUUCUGUGAUUCUGUUAUAUACACACACACA